This 599-nucleotide ribosomal RNA is filed under the name Hygroaster nodulisporus. RNAcentral's name for it is "eukaryotic LSU rRNA". The stretch from base 200 to 353 matches the Rfam family "5.8S ribosomal RNA". Lineage: Eukaryota; Fungi; Basidiomycota; Agaricomycetes; Agaricales; Hygrophoraceae. The record is from RNAcentral.
AAGGAUCAUUAUUGAAAAGAGAAGAAUCAUGGGAUGUUGCUGGUGCAGAAUGCACAAGUGCACUCCCUUGCCAUUUUUCUUUUUCAAUCUAUCUAUCACACCUGUGCACACAUUGUAGAUUGAGUAAAUCAAUCUAUGUCUUUUUCUCUCUCAUACAACCCUUGCAUUGUAUGUGUUGGUUAUAUAUGAAUWUGAAUACAACUUUCAACAAUGGAUCUCUUGGCUCUCGCAUCGAUGAAGAACGCAGCGAAAUGCGAUAUGUAAUGUGAAUUGCAGAAUUCCGUGAAUCAUCGAAUCUUUGAACGCACCUUGCGCCUCUUGGUAUUCCGAGAGGCAUGCCUGUUUGAGUGUCAUUGGAAAUUCUCAACUUGACUUUUCAGAAUCAAGUUUGGACUUUGGAGAGUGCCUGCUGCUUCUUUGAAUGACCAGGCUCCUCUGAAAAGCAUUGGCAAAAGAAUGGCUUACUUGUUCACAAUUUGCGAGCAUUGAUAAUGUUUCAUGCCGCUUGUUGAAGAAACCCUAUCCCCUUCUUUUGCUGAAUAAUAAAUAAUUGUGAACCAUCUGACCUCAAAUCAGGUAGGACUACCCGCUGAACUUAA